RNAcentral lists this ribosomal RNA (206 nucleotides) under uncultured bacterium. RNAcentral's name for it is "partial 16S ribosomal RNA". It matches the Rfam family "Bacterial small subunit ribosomal RNA", at positions 568 to 774 of the family's 1533-position model. The record is from RNAcentral.
CGUUGAGGCGGUUUCGUAAGUUGGACGUGAAAGCCCCAAGCUUAACUUGGGGAGGUCGUUCAAUACUGCGAGACUUGAGGACAGCAGAGGGAGGUGGAAUUCCCGGUGUAGUGGUGAAAUGCGUAGAUAUCGGGAGGAACACCAGUGGCGAAGGCGGCCUCCUGGGCUGCUCCUGACGCUGAAGGCGAAAGCUAGGGUAGCGAACG